Molecule: transfer RNA, 71 nt
Filed under: Loxodonta africana (African savanna elephant)
Lineage: Eukaryota; Metazoa; Chordata; Mammalia; Proboscidea; Elephantidae
Rfam family: tRNA
About the family: Transfer RNA (tRNA) molecules are approximately 80 nucleotides in length. Their secondary structure includes four short double-helical elements and three loops (D, anti-codon, and T loops).
Source: Rfam by way of RNAcentral
GUGUUGGUGGUUCAGCUGUAGAAUUCUCACCUUCAAAGCAGGAGACCCAGAUUCGAUUCCCGGCCAGUGCA